This 1088-nucleotide ribosomal RNA is filed under the name Microbacterium lacticum. RNAcentral's name for it is "bacterial SSU rRNA". It matches the Rfam family "Bacterial small subunit ribosomal RNA", at positions 344 to 1441 of the family's 1533-position model. Lineage: Bacteria; Bacillati; Actinomycetota; Actinomycetes; Micrococcales; Microbacteriaceae. The record is from RNAcentral.
GGAGGCAGCAGUGGGGAAUAUUGCACAAUGGGCGAAAGCCUGAUGCAGCAACGCCGCGUGAGGGACGACGGCCUUUCGGGUUGUAAACCUCUUUUAGCAGGGAAGAAGCGAAAGUGACGGUACCUGCAGAAAAAGCGCCGGCUAACUACGUGCCAGCAGCCGCGGUAAUACGUAGGGCGCAAGCGUUAUCCGGAAUUAUUGGGCGUAAAGAGCUCGUAGGCGGUUUGUCGCGUCUGCUGUGAAACCCCGAGGCUCAACCUCGGGCCUGCAGUGGGUACGGGCAGACUAGAGUGCGGUAGGGGAGAUUGGAAUUCCUGGUGUAGCGGUGGAAUGCGCAGAUAUCAGGAGGAACACCGAUGGCGAAGGCAGAUCUCUGGGCCGUAACUGACGCUGAGGAGCGAAAGGGUGGGGAGCAAACAGGCUUAGAUACCCUGGUAGUCCACCCCGUAAACGUUGGGAACUAGUUGUGGGGUCCAUUCCACGGAUUCCGUGACGCAGCUAACGCAUUAAGUUCCCCGCCUGGGGAGUACGGCCGCAAGGCUAAAACUCAAAGGAAUUGACGGGGACCCGCACAAGCGGCGGAGCAUGCGGAUUAAUUCGAUGCAACGCGAAGAACCUUACCAAGGCUUGACAUAUACGAGAACGGGCCAGAAAUGGUCAACUCUUUGGACACUCGUAAACAGGUGGUGCAUGGUUGUCGUCAGCUCGUGUCGUGAGAUGUUGGGUUAAGUCCCGCAACGAGCGCAACCCUCGUUCUAUGUUGCCAGCACGUAAUGGUGGGAACUCAUGGAAUACUGCCGGGGUCAACUCGGAGGAAGGUGGGGAUGACGUCAAAUCAUCAUGCCCCUUAUGUCUUGGGCUUCACGCAUGCUACAAUGGCCGGUACAAAGGGCUGCAAUACCGCAAGGUGGAGCGAAUCCCAAAAAGCCGGUCCCAGUUCGGAUUGAGGUCUGCAACUCGACCUCAUGAAGUCGGAGUCGCUAGUAAUCGCAGAUCAGCAACGCUGCGGUGAAUACGUUCCCGGGUCUUGUACACACCGCCCGUCAAGUCAUGAAAGUCGGUAACACCUGAAGCCGGUGGCCCAACCC